This 496-nucleotide ribosomal RNA is filed under the name uncultured bacterium. RNAcentral's name for it is "bacterial SSU rRNA". It matches the Rfam family "Bacterial small subunit ribosomal RNA", at positions 30 to 521 of the family's 1533-position model. The record is from RNAcentral.
AGUGAACGCUGGCGGCAGGCCUAACACAUGCAAGUCGAGCGGCAGCACGGGGGCAACCCUGGUGGCGAGCGGCGGACGGGUGAGGAACACAUCGGAAUCUACCCUGUCGUGGGGGACAACGUAGGGAAACUUACGCUAAUACCGCAUGAUCUGGAGACAGCAAAGCCGGGGACCUUCGGGCCUGGCGCGAUGGGAUGAGCCGAUGUCCGAUUAGCUAGUUGGCGGGGUAAGAGCCCACCAAGGCGACGAUCGGUAGCUGGUCUGAGAGGACGACCAGCCACACUGGAACUGAGACACGGUCCAGACUCCUACGGGAGGCAGCAGUGGGGAAUAUUGGACAAUGGGGGCAACCCUGAUCCAGCCAUGCCGCGUGGGUGAAGAAGGCCUCGGUUGUAAGACCUUUGUACGGUAAGAAAGUACGUCGGUGACGAUCCGGCGAUGCUGACGGUACCGUAAGAAUAAGCACCGGCUAACUUACGUGCCACGCAGCCGCGGU